CACUGUUCAUCAGGCGUACUGUUCAUCCGGCCCGUCUAGAGCCCGUGCAGGUUUUUCUCCGGGCCAAAAUCUGAUCCGCGACCGUGAUCGAUUUGGAGAUGCCGCCAAAGUACCACAGGGAUUGAAGAAUAUGUUAAUUUACCCUGUCUUUUGAGUAUCUUUUUGUAGAGGAGAUAAGCUUGUCGACCACCGCCCCUUUUUGAAAAGCGUGGUUGGGAAUUGGUAGCCCAGGUUAUUGUCCUGUAAUAGUGACUACCUUAUUAUGUUAUGCAAUUAUUGUUUUGUGCUA
Syzygium oleosum is the source of this 289-nucleotide long non-coding RNA. RefSeq lists it as uncharacterized. The record is from RefSeq and is a predicted model, not a curated record. Lineage: Eukaryota; Viridiplantae; Streptophyta; Magnoliopsida; Myrtales; Myrtaceae. The transcript is spliced from 2 exons.